GUCGAGUGGUAAAGGGCAAAGUGGAG
Molecule: non-coding RNA, 26 nt
Filed under: Homo sapiens (human)
Lineage: Eukaryota; Metazoa; Chordata; Mammalia; Primates; Hominidae
Source: RNAcentral